Molecule: long non-coding RNA, 1258 nt
Organism: Ahaetulla prasina
Lineage: Eukaryota; Metazoa; Chordata; Lepidosauria; Squamata; Colubridae
Exons: 3
Source: RefSeq, a predicted model, not a curated record
ACUUAACAGAACAAAAGAAUUGGAAGGGACCUGCUCCGAAGUCCAAAAAGAGCAUUUUUCCUCAAGUUUUGAAGGCUACAGUAAAAUCCUACAAGACGGACAGAGAAAUUAACCUCUGUGUUUGGCAUCUGCUGCUAAGCGGAGACCACAAACCCCAUCAUCCCCCAUCCCAUACAGUUCUCCACUGGCAGCGAAAAGGACUCAGCGACACAACAAUGUUAGAAGACUGGAGGUCGUCCUUGGUUUACAGCCUCCACCAAACCCAAAAUUUAUCUUGCUCGGUGAGAGAUGGUUAAGAGAGCUUUGCCCCGUUUUACGACCAUUCCUGCCGCCAUUGUUAAGUGAGUCAAUGCGGUGGGUCAGUUAGUGACACGGUCGUUAAGCGAAGCCGGAUUUCCCCGUUGACUUUGCUGGUCGGAAGGUCGCCAAAGGGGAAACCACGCGAGUGGUCCGGGAACGCGGCAACCGUCAAUUCAGCCACAAAUCCGGCCAUUCACAUGGCUGUGCUGGUUUUGCAGCCCCCACCCCAGCCUUGGCAGGAAGGAAGCCCCCGUCAGCCAAGAGCCCCUGCCCACCGUGGCUGGAGGGUGGCCUUCGCCCUCGCCACUGUCCCCCCUGACCCGUGGCCCCUCCAUGUGACUCACGCCGACAAGAGGACCUCGUUCGAUGCUCCUCCGAAGACUGCCACAAUUUGCCACAACUGUCUUGCUAAGGUUGUGGGAAGUGUCACGUUAGCAAAAAGCUCUGGUCAAGUGGCAAGGGGUUCCCCAGAGCCUAACGACUCUCGUAAAAACGGUCAUAAGAUCAAGUCAUGCAAUGAUUUGACUUACGACCUCAAUGAGUUACCACCACAAUUCUGGGGGCUCAAUUUUCGUGGUAAGUGGAGGCGGCUGGUGAAUUCUGGGGAGUUGAAGUUCACCCCUCUUAAAGUGGCUGAGAUUGAGAAACGCUAAUUUAGGAAACGGAAAGUGAUGCAAUUAACUGCCAAACAACCUCAGAUGCAAGAAUGGAACAAAAUAUCAGCAGUGUUGUAUAAAAUAUACAUAUAUUACUGCAAUGUACAUGAGUAUCCCCCAAAUCCCCAAAAUUUUAACCUUAGACUGGCUACUGUAGACCUCACCCCAUUCCUAAGAGGCCUGUAAGGGGCGUGCAUAAGAGCACCAGCCUGCCUACCGUCCCUGUCCUAAUGUUCCCUUUAAUUGUAUUCAUUUUAUGUAUUCAAUUCAUGCUUAUAUUUAUAUAUAUUAUCUAAUACCUA